This 509-nucleotide ribosomal RNA is filed under the name uncultured Prevotellaceae bacterium. RNAcentral's name for it is "bacterial SSU rRNA". It matches the Rfam family "Bacterial small subunit ribosomal RNA", at positions 8 to 507 of the family's 1533-position model. The record is from RNAcentral. Lineage: Bacteria; Pseudomonadati; Bacteroidota; Bacteroidia; Bacteroidales; Prevotellaceae.
AGAGUUUGAUCCUGGCUCAGGAUGAACGCUAGCUACAGGCUUAACACAUGCAAGUCGAGGGGCAGCGGGUUGAAAGCUUGCUUUCAAUGCCGGCGACCGGCGCACGGGUGCGUAACGCGUAUCAAACCUGCCUCAUACUCGGGGAUAGCCUUGCGAAAGUAAGAUUAAUACCCGAUGUUGUUGCUUUCUCGCAUGGGAGAGUAACCAAAGAUUUAUCGGUAUGAGAUGGUGAUGCGUCCGAUUAGGUAGUAGGCGGGGUAACGGCCCACCUAGCCUUCGAUCGGUAGGGGUUCUGAGAGGAAGGUCCCCCACACUGGAACUGAGACACGGUCCAGACUCCUACGGGAGGCAGCAGUGAGGAAUAUUGGUCAAUGGGCGAGAGCCUGAACCAGCCAAGUAGCGUGCAGGAUGACGGCCCUCCGGGUUGUAAACUGCUUUUAGUUGGGAAUAAAAAAGGGACUUGUCCCUUCUUGUAUGUACCUUCAGAAAAAGGACCGGCUAAUUCCGUG